GCUAGCUCCGUGCGAGGGGCGGGGGGAUGUCGUGGGUGGCAUGCGUUGGCCGGAAGUAUAGGGCGUAAAGGGCUCGUAGGCGGUCUGUCGGUUCUGCUGUGAAAACCCGGGGCUCAACCCCGGGCCUGCAGUCGAUACGGGCAGACUAGAGUGCGGUAGGGGAGACUGGAAUUCCUGGUGUAGCGGUGAAAUGCGCAGAUAUCAGGAGGAACACCGGUGGCGAAGGCGGGUCUCUGGGCCGUAACUGACGCUGAGGAGCGAAAGCGUGGGGAGCGAACAGGAUUAGAUACCCCAGUAGUC
This 300-nucleotide ribosomal RNA is filed under the name uncultured Olsenella sp. Its description in RNAcentral is "bacterial SSU rRNA". It matches the Rfam family "Bacterial small subunit ribosomal RNA", at positions 496 to 795 of the family's 1533-position model. Lineage: Bacteria; Bacillati; Actinomycetota; Coriobacteriia; Coriobacteriales; Atopobiaceae. The record is from RNAcentral.